This 834-nucleotide non-coding RNA is filed under the name Leptodactylus plaumanni (gray-striped frog). RNAcentral describes it as "partial 12S ribosomal RNA". It matches the Rfam family "Bacterial small subunit ribosomal RNA", at positions 339 to 1522 of the family's 1533-position model. The record is from RNAcentral. Lineage: Eukaryota; Metazoa; Chordata; Amphibia; Anura; Leptodactylidae.
CAUGGAGCCGGUAUCAGGCACAAAUCUUAGCCCAAGACACCUAGCUACGCCACACCCACAAGGGAACUCAGCAGUGAUUAACAUUGAAUAUAAGCGACAGCUUGAUUCAGUUAAAGUAAAGAGAGCCGGCUAAUCUGGUGCCAGCCGCCGCGGUUACACCACGUGGCUCAAAUUGAUCCUUCUCGGCGUAAAGCGUGAUUUAAGAGACACUAUUUUGGUGUCAAAAAGACACUAAGCCGUGACACGCUUGUGUUUAAGAAGCCCAAGAACGAAAGUUACACCAACCAAAUCAACUUGAACUCACGACAGCCAGGAAACAAACUGGGAUUAGAUACCCCACUAUGCCUGGCCGUAAACUUUAACUUACACUUAUAAUCGCCCGGGAACUACGAGCCAAGCUUAAAACCCAAAGGACUUGACGGUACCCCAAAUCCACCUAGAGGAGCCUGUCCUAUAAUCGAUAACCCCCGUUUAACCUCACCAUUCCUUGUCUAUCAGCCUGUAUACCUCCGUCGCCAGCUUACCGCGUGAGCGCCAUUAAGUGAGCUUAAUGCCCAUACGCCAACACGUCAGGUCAAGGUGCAGCUAAUGAAAUGGGAAGAGAUGGGCUACACUUUCUACCGUAGAAAAAACGAAAGACUACCUAUGAAAUCUAGUCAGAAGGAGGAUUUAGUAGUAAAAAGAAAACAGAGUGUUCUUUUUAAUCCGGCACUGGGGUGUGUACACACCGCCCGUCACCCUCUUCAAGGCCCAAUUAAAGUACAUAACCAAACUUUGCCACAUAGAAGAGGCAAGUCGUAACACGGUAAGUAUACCGGAAGGUGUGCUUGGAAA